CUCCAUUUCCUAGGCUUCAACAGUGUAGACAUGUGACUCACUUCUUCCAUGGAAGAUGCAAGUGGAAACACUGAAUUUGUGUUUCUUUAUAGGUGGGACGAGCAUCCUUGCACUCUCAUCCUUCCUGCUGCCUAAAAUGUGGAUGCAUUGGUUGGAGCCCUGGCAGUCAUCUUGGGCCAUGAAGUGACCUUGAAAGAAGCCACACACAGUGGAGAAACCAACUCAAAUGUUCCAGGGUCUCUGCUGCAUAAUCGUGGAGCCAACUUACCAGCCCUAGACAGCCUACCUCCAGACUUCUUUUACAUGAAAGAAAGUUAAUUUCUAAUCUAUUCAUGUCUGAUGGUCUUAAGAAAGUCGCUUAGCUCCUCUGUACCCUGGUUUCAUGUAUAAAAUGGGAUAAUAGUAUCCACCUUAGAGAUUGUUGAAUGUUGGCUAUUAUUACAUUUUAUUUAUGCUAUUAUUUUUUAAACAGCUUUACUGGGAUAUAAUUUGUAUGCCACAAUAGUUUGCUCACUUAAAUGUGCAAUUCAGUGGUUUCUAACAUAUUUAUAGUUUUGCAAUUAUCACAACUUAAUUUUAGAACAUUUUUAUCAUCCCUCAAAGAAAGCUUAAUAGUCACUCUUCAUUUCCCCUCCACAGUUCCCCAGACUUAGGCAUAGAUCUAUUUUUUAAACGUUAAAUUAUCUUUAAUCACAAUUUAAAGGGUGCCUGAAGGUACUUUGUGAUCAUAAGUACUCCUUAAGACAGAUCCUGUCAGUUUAGAUUCUUCCCAAGAGAAUCACCUUACAUUAUAAUGCAAUUUAUUUGGGGUAAGAGUAUGACAUUACGUUGGAUUUUUCUUAAGGUGUCAAUGUGCGAAGUGAAUGUCACUGUUUAAAUAUACUUUUAGACAGUUUUUUCUACCGUAUUCACUUUCAGUAUUGAUUUUUAUGAACACAAAUCUUUAAAAAAAUCAAAUAGGAUCAUCAUGAGACUUGUGAUGAAAAGGGAGGCAGCUCCCUCCUCAUCGCUGCCCUGUUCAAUGUCCCAGAGGUAGCUACUUUUGGAAUCCUCUAUCACUUACCUCUAUAUUUUUAAAUAACACACUUUUACCACUAUUUUCCAAUUUUUGACAUUAUCUUACAGAAAGAGCAGCAGAUUUAUACCCUUCCCUUAUCCCAAUAUAAUUUUUAUUUUUUAGAGUCAGGGUCUUGCUCUGUCGCCCAGGCUGGAGUGCAGUGAUCACAGCUCGCUGUAGCCUUAACUCUUGAGCUCAAGCAAGCCUCCCUACCUGAGCGUCCCAAGUAGCUAGGACUACAGGUGAACCCAGGGAAGCAAGCAACAGUGUGAUCUUCUCACAAGUCCAGAAAUAAGACCAGGGCAGUCCAGUCAGGGCUGCCCAACACCUGCUAUCUCCAUAUGGUUCACCCCACUGCUGAAUUCCCAUGACUGGACCAGAGACAUGGCACUUGGAUUUGGACAACCACAAACCAAAGCAAAUGCAUACUGACAUACACUGAAUUUGAGCAUGUUCUGAAUGCCGUCUGACACCAAGAAAUACUGUUCUUCCAGGGAGGUCGAGGAAACGGCUGUAGCAAAUGCAAGGCAAGGGCUUCCCGUUAUCUUCCUUAGAGAGAACAAGAGGCACUAAUGACUCCUAGCAAAAAGACACUGUCUACAAGGAAUUAUUUCCUCUGUGAUAUCCUAGCACUGCACCACAGAGGUAUUAAAAAGAAGAAGAAAUGCCAUCUCGCUAUAUUGCCCAGGCUGGACUUGAACUGCUGAGCUCAAGUGAUCCUCCUGCCUCAGCCUCCUGCACAGCUGGGACUACAAGCAUGAGCCACUGUGCCCAGCUCUUUGAUAUUUUAUAUGGUACCAGUAUGUCCUUCCAUUGUGAAUUAUGUCUUUUCACUUUGUGGUGCCUUUUAAUAGAAGUUAAUUUCAAUUAGUUAAAUAAGUCAAACUUUAUGGAUGGUGUUUUUCUAUGACUUAAAUUCUUCUCAAAGUCAAGGAUAUAAAAAUAUUUUCCUGUUAUCUUCUACAGAACUAUAAAACAUUAAAAACUUGAUAGUGUCACCUUGUAAAUUUGGUCUAAAAAAAAAUCAGCAGAGGUGAUUUUUUGUUUCCUUUUAAGAGUCUCACUGUAUUGCCCAGGAUGGAGUAUAGUGGCAUCAUCACAGCUCAUUACACCCUCAACCUCUCCUGGCUCAGGUGAUCCUCCCACCUCAGCCUCCUGAGUAGCUGGGACUACAGGCAUGCACCACUAUGCCCCACUAAUUUUUGUAUUUUUUUGUAGAGAUGGGGUUUCAUCAUGUUGUCCAGGCUGGUCUUGAACUCCUGAGCUCAAGUGACUGGCUACCUUGGCCUCCCAAAGUGGAGGUGACUUUUAUAUAUAACAUGGAGUAGGGGUCCAAUUUCAUUUUUUCCUAUACAGAUACCCCACCAGCACACUGUGCUUUUUAAAAAGACGGUCCUUUUUCCCUCACAUUGCAUGGGAUUAGCUGCUAAUUCUUAACCCCUUCAUCUCUUUACUGUAAAAUAGAAGUAGGCUAAAUCACGUUUCCCAACCUGAAAGGUUUUGUUUAAACCCAGAUUUCUAUGUUUCAUUCACAAACCAGGGAUGGGAGAAUGGCAGAAGGAAUGGAGGCUCAUGGUAGGACUCUGGAUGUAUAAUAAGCUCCUUGGCUAAUGCAUAUGCAGCCAACCUGGCUCCUGCCAACAGAUGGACACUCCGAGG
Molecule: non-coding RNA, 2716 nt
Organism: Callithrix jacchus (white-tufted-ear marmoset)
Lineage: Eukaryota; Metazoa; Chordata; Mammalia; Primates; Cebidae
Source: RefSeq, a predicted model, not a curated record